UAAUUCGAGGCGGAUAAGCGUCUA
This 24-nucleotide non-coding RNA is filed under the name Arabidopsis thaliana (thale cress). Lineage: Eukaryota; Viridiplantae; Streptophyta; Magnoliopsida; Brassicales; Brassicaceae. The record is from RNAcentral.